This is a long non-coding RNA of Neopelma chrysocephalum (saffron-crested tyrant-manakin), 1634 nucleotides long. RefSeq lists it as uncharacterized. The record is from RefSeq and is a predicted model, not a curated record. NCBI's taxonomy places the organism in Eukaryota, Metazoa, Chordata, Aves, Passeriformes, Pipridae. The transcript is spliced from 5 exons.
GCGGAUGCGCCACGGCCCGGCUGCCCGGGCCAAGAGCCGCCCUCCUCCCCCUCCCCUCCCCGCACCGCACCGCCGGCCCUGCCAUGUUAUUCGCAGGAAUAGCGCCCCCGCUCGCCGCGCGGCCGGGCAGGGAGGGAGGGUGUUCCCUCCCUCGCCUCGCCGUUCGCGCAGCGGGGUUGGCUUAUUUAUUUAUUAACUUACUACUCCAGUGCCGGGCGAUGCUGCCAUUUGCUUUCGUGCGAGCGGCGCCGCAUCAGUUUCCCUGUUUGUUUUUUUUUUUAUCUCUCCUUCCUUUUCUAAUUCCCCUCCCAAAAGGAAAAAAAAAAAAACCAACACCAAAACAAGAGAACCAAAACCAAAAACCAUGGCCAGUCAGAAACUUUCAUAAGCAGGUUCAAAGCAAGGAAGUUGCACGUCAUGGAUUAAAAGGUUUCUGCAGUGCCCGUUGGCGUGAAAAUCAAAUAAACGUGACUUGGGGGCUCCUCGCUCCCUCCCUCCAUCCCUCGCCCCCAGGGGCGGUGCUGGGCCCGCCUGUGCCGGCGGCUCGGGGACCACAGUCCCCCCGGCUCCCAGCUUGGACACAAUGAGCUGCGGGGGGCUGCCCGAACGCGAGCAGCUAACCUGUGCGGGGUCAGUCCUUAUCUGCAAUACACUAGCUUAAGUUACAGGCAUGCCCCUGUGCGUCUCCGCCUUCUGAAAGUCUCCGAAGUCUCAGAAAUACUUAAAGCCUCGCCUUUAUCUCGGAGCCACCAUUGCUAAAGCACUGGGACAUGUUCUGGACGCCGCGGAAUUUGCAUGCUUCAGGAAGUCACGAUGAACUCAUUAUUUUAUUGUGAAACUAAAUCCAUAAAGCAGUCAUGAUGAGUAACUCGGGGACUUGUCGUAAUUGGGCAGUAACGCACAGUUUUAUCAUCUGGAGGAUUCUAGUGGGCUCAAUGUGGUUGCCAAUUCUGUGUGAUUUAAUUGUGAACUUUACAACAUUUAGUGCCCUUCUUAAAGCUGUAGCUCCUGGACUCAUACAAUUAUGCAAGAAAUUCAGGUUUGUUUUUUUUUAAUGAAGUUUCUAGCUUGUGGGUUUGUGGAUGUGACCUUAAAGACACAAACCUUAAAGGAACAAAAAGGAAAAGCUAGGUAUGAUACUGAACAGCAGGGCUGAUGGAGAACUAAAAAAAAAGAAAAACACAGAGAAUAUAUCAGAGUGCUUGUAAAAUAGUUACCAAUAGGUACACAGUUCAUGGAAUAACAGCUUUUGAACCGAUCAAGUAAUCCUGGGACAAGGUCUAUUACUGUCAGAUCUGCUUGUAGUUUACUGUGAUUUCUCCUGGGGCUGGGGCACCAUCCAGCCACCUCCCUCCUCACCCCUCCAGUCUUGAGUCCAUAACCAAUUUUUAAACACUCUGAAAAUCCCAUCCCCAAAACUCUGAUUUCCCCCCCCUCCAUGUAAACUUUUACUACCAGCCCUUCAAGCUGUAGAGGCUGAGUGUUACAGCCAAGACAGCCUGGAUUUUGAUUUUACCUUCAGUUAGAGUUUGAAGCAAGAAGAGGAGUCGGCUUACUCUGAAAACUAUGAGACCAGAGUUGCUUUUUUCCUUCAGAUUUUUUUGAUAGACACACCAGAGAAAUAAAUAACUGAA